GGAAAGGCCCACCCUAAGUUUGAAUUUCAAAAACCCUUUUCCAAUUUUGGAUCGACAACCCUUUUCUGAAAAAAAUCGUCUCAUUUCAGAAAGGGAGGGGAGAAUCGACACUUGAGAUCGGUUGCCUCGUACUUGAGACUCUACGUGGACUCAUCUCGCCACGUCAAGGACUAAUUCGCGUGCCUUGCUCUGUUGUUGCGAAUCAAAUGAGUUGAGGGCAUGAUAUUGGCCUGCUCUUCCCCACUUUCCGUUACACUUGC
This 260-nucleotide unclassified non-coding RNA is filed under the name Hevea brasiliensis (rubber tree). The record is from RNAcentral. Lineage: Eukaryota; Viridiplantae; Streptophyta; Magnoliopsida; Malpighiales; Euphorbiaceae.